AUUGAACGCUGGCGGCAUGCCUUACACAUGCAAGUCGAACGGCAGCACGGGAGCAAUCCUGGUGGCGAGUGGCGAACGGGUGAGUAAUAUAUCGGAACGUGCCCGGUCGUGGGGGAUAACGUAGCGAAAGCUACGCUAAUACCGCAUACGAUCUACGGAUGAAAGCGGGGGAUCGCAAGACCUCGCGCGAUUGGAGCGGCCGAUAUCAGAUUAGGUAGUUGGUGAGGUAAAGGCUCACCAAGCCGACGAUCUGUAGCUGGUCUGAGAGGACGACCAGCCACACUGGGACUGAGACACGGCCC
This 302-nucleotide ribosomal RNA is filed under the name uncultured bacterium. RNAcentral describes it as "bacterial SSU rRNA". It matches the Rfam family "Bacterial small subunit ribosomal RNA", at positions 30 to 332 of the family's 1533-position model. The record is from RNAcentral.